UUCUUAUUAUUUUAAAUCAUUUUUACUUGAUCAUUUUUAGCAAUAUCCAUAACUUAUAAAUUCUUAUGAGAUGAGGGACGAGCGAAAUUUUGAAUUCGAGAUUUUCCAUUUAUAUUUUUAGGGAUUGUUUUAUUAUGAAAGUGUUGUUACAGAUUCUCCUAGAUUUAUAUCUUCUACAGUGGCUAAAUUAUCAGAAAAAGAUUCAUCAUUAGCAUCAACUGCAUGCUUCCUACUUGCUCAUCUUGUAUCAGAAAGUCGUUUCAGAGUGUCUACUUUUGAUUCAUAUAGGCAUUUCUGGUGCUCUUGGAGAAUAUGAAGCCGUGGUUAACUAGAUGUAAGUGAGUGAUAAACAUGUGGUAUGGUUUCCUCAUUGGAACCACCUGAAAUUUAAACUUACAAAUAUAGAGUGGCGAUCUUUCUGAUUUAGUGCGGUUUUAAUGUCACUAGUAAUUUACUAUUAAAGACAAAGACACAUUAACCACACCGAUACUAUCCCAUAAAGGUGAGUAAUACACAGCACAAGCUUUCUGGGGAUUGUUCGUACCACGAGUGCAACAAGUAAAUUGGGGCUGAAAUUUUGAAAUUUCACAUGUUGUAAUUUUGUAGUUGUAAAUUAAAAAAAUAUUUAUGAAAAUAAA
Hydra vulgaris (swiftwater hydra) is the source of this 638-nucleotide long non-coding RNA. RefSeq lists it as uncharacterized. Lineage: Eukaryota; Metazoa; Cnidaria; Hydrozoa; Anthoathecata; Hydridae. The record is from RefSeq and is a predicted model, not a curated record.